UAAAGUAAGAAAGAGCGUAUGGCGGAUGCCUAGGCACAGAGAGGCGAAGAAGGACGCAGCAAACAGCGAAAUGCGACGGUUAGCAGUAAGCAUGCAACGAUCCGUCGAUGUCCGAAUGGGGGAACCCACCUGGAGUAGAGACCAGGUAUCCUGAAGUGAAUAAAUAGCUUCAGAGAGGCGAGACUCAGGGAACUGAAACAUCUAAGUACCUGAAGGAAGAGAAAAUAAACGAAUGAUUCCCUAAGUAGCGGCGAGCGAAAGGGGAAGAGCCCAAACCGAUCUUAGGAUCGGGGUUGUAGGACUGUCGGCAAAGAGCAAGAAAUCAUUAUAGGCGAACGGAAUGGGAAGUCCGGCGAAACAGGGUGACAGCCCCGUAGCCGAAAUAGUGAAGAAGCACGAGACAGCACCUGAGUACGGCGGGACACGAGGAAUCCUGUCGGAAUCCACCAGGACCAUCUGGUAAGGCUAAAUACUCCUCUGUGACCGAUAGUGAACCAGUACCGUGAGGGAAAGGUGAAAAGAACCCCGGGAGGGGAGUGAAAUAGAACCUGAAACCAUAUGCUUACAAGAAGUUAGAGCCCGUUAAAGGGUGAUAGCGUGCCUUUUGUAGAAUGAACCGGCGAGUUACGAUAUGGAGCGAGGUUAAGCAGGAUAUGCGGAGCCGAAGCGAAAGCGAGUCUUAACAGGGCGAAAGUUGCAUGUCGUAGACCCGAAACCGAGUGAUCUAGCCAUGACCAGGUUGAAGUUGGGGUAAAACCCGAUGGAGGACCGAACCGACCCCCGUUGAAACGUUGGCGGAUGAGUUGUGGCUAGGGGUGAAAUUCCAAUCGAACUCGGAGAUAGCUGGUUCUCCCCGAAAUAGCUUUAGGGCUAGCGUCGAGGUAAAGUCGUGUGAAGGUAGAGCACUGAAUAUGUGAUGGCCCCAUCUCGGGGUACUGAACAUAAUCAAACUCCGAAUGUCACAAAGAUAUACUCGGCAGUCAGACAGUGGGUGAUAAGGUCCAUUGUCAAAAGGGAAACAGCCCAGACCAUCAGCUAAGGUCCCAAAAUAUAUACUAAGUGGAAAAGGAUGUGGAGAUGUCCAGACAACUAGGAGGUUGGCUCAGAAGCAGCCAUCCUUUAAAGAGUGCGUAACAGCUCACUAGUCGAAUGACUCUGCGCCGAUAAUUUACCGGGGCUAAGUAUAUUACCGAAGCUAUGGAUUUACGCGUAAGCGUGAGUGGUAGGGGAGCGUUCUAUGUGCGGAGAAGCGGUACCGUAAGGAGCCGUGGAGCGCAUAGAAGAGAGAAUGCCGGUGUGAGUAGCGAAACGUGGGUGAGAAUCCCACGCACCGAAAACCCAAGGUUUCCAGAGGAAGGUUCGUCCGCUCUGGGUAAGUCGGGACCUAAGGCGAGGCCGAGAGGCGUAGUCGAUGGACAACAGGUAGAGAUUCCUGUACUUACGGUAUGAAUGAUGGAGUGACGGAGAAGGCUAGCGGAUCCUGCUGAUGGAAAUGCAGGUGCAAGCGAGGUAGCCGACAGCCAGGCAAAUCCGGCUGUCGAAAGGCAAAGGCGUGAGGCGUAUGGAAAGCUGCGGCAAGUACAGAAGUCCGUGAAGCCAGCUUCCAAGAAAAGCUUCUAGUGAUAAUCAUACAGUAACCCGUACCGAAAAUGGACACACAUGGGUGAGGAGAGAAUCCUAAGGUGAGCGAGAGAACUAUAGCUAAGGAACUCUGCAAAAUGACUCCGUAACUUAGGGAUAAGGAGUGCUCAUAGAGAUAUGAGCCGCAGUGAAACGGCCCAAGCGACUGUUUACCAAAAACACAGCUCUAUGCUAAGUCGAAAGACGACGUAUAUGGGGUGACGCCUGCCCGGUGCUGGAAGGUUAAGAGGAUGUGUCAGCGCAAGCGAAGCACUGAAUUGAAGCCCCAGUAAACGGCGGCCGUAACUAUAACGGUCCUAAGGUAGCGAAAUUCCUUGUCAGGUAAGUUCUGACCCG
RNAcentral lists this ribosomal RNA (1977 nucleotides) under human gut metagenome. RNAcentral's name for it is "bacterial LSU rRNA". It matches the Rfam family "Bacterial large subunit ribosomal RNA", at positions 1 to 1990 of the family's 2925-position model. The record is from RNAcentral.